GGCCGGCCUCCUCCUCCUCCUGCUCCGGCCGGCCGGCCUCCUCUUGCUCCGGCCUCCUCCUCCUGCUGCUCCGGCCUCCUCCUGCUGCUGCUCCGGUCCUCCCUCCUCCUCCUCGAGUACAUUUCUGAGCUUUAGUUUUAUUUUGUGUUUGCUUUUAUUUUCCGGUCAAUUGCAAUGUUGUGGUGUUGUUAGGAAGUGUAUAUUUGUAUUUAGGAAGUGUAUAUUGUUAUUUAAUAAGUGUAUAUUUGUAUUUAGUAUUUAGGAAAUGUAUAUAUUUGUUUUGUAUUUUGUGUUUGCUUUGAUUUUCCGGUCAAUUGCAAUGUUGUGGUGUUGUUAGGAAGUGUAUAUUUUUAUUUAUGAAGUGUAUAUGUGUAAAUUUUAGGAAGUGAAAAUUUGUAUUUAGGAAGUGUAUAUAUUUUUUACAUUUUUUAAAUGAGUUUGCAUUUUUUGAUUUUGUGGCCUUGAUUCAAAUUAAUAUUUUAAACAGGAUGAGCGGUAAUAUUAGAUCGACGAAGGGUUUGAAGGGCCAAAGGUCCGUAUCGUCUGAGGGAACCUCUAGCAACCCUCAGACGUCGUUUCAGGGCCUUAUGACAGCUAGACAUGCGAGCCUUCUGCAGACGGCGCAGAGGCAGCCGGAGGUGCCCCCUUCAUCGAGGCAGCGGGGCUU
Molecule: long non-coding RNA, 667 nt
Filed under: Fragaria vesca (wild strawberry)
Lineage: Eukaryota; Viridiplantae; Streptophyta; Magnoliopsida; Rosales; Rosaceae
Description: long non-coding RNA (FVES_LNC002437)
Source: RNAcentral